CCUACGGGAGGCAGCAGUGAGGAAUAUUGGUCAAUGGGAGGAAUCCUGAACCAGCCAUGCCGCGUGCAGGACGACGGCUCUACGAGUUGUAAACUGCUUUUGUACCGGGGUAAAAUGCUCUACGAGUAGGGUUUUGCAAGUACGGUACGAAUAAGGAUCGGCUAACUCCGUGCCAGCAGCCGCGGUAAUACGGAGGAUCCGAGCGUUAUCCGGAUUCAGUGGGUUUAAAGGGUGCGUAGGUUGUUUUAUAAGGUAGCGGUGAAAUACCGAUGCUCAACAUCGGGGCUGCCGCUGAUACUGUAGGACUAGAGAUCGGAUGCAGCAGGCGGAAUGUGUAGUGUAGCGGUGAAAUGCAUAGAUAUUACACAGAACACCGAUUGCGAAGGCAGCUUGCUAGGCCGGAUCUGACACUGAUGCACGAAAGCGUGGGGAUCGAACAGGAUUAGAUACCCCGGUAGUC
This 460-nucleotide ribosomal RNA is filed under the name uncultured bacterium. RNAcentral describes it as "partial 16S ribosomal RNA". It matches the Rfam family "Bacterial small subunit ribosomal RNA", at positions 338 to 795 of the family's 1533-position model. The record is from RNAcentral.